CAGAGGUACCGCGCAGACAGAGAAA
RNAcentral lists this unclassified non-coding RNA (25 nucleotides) under Mus musculus (house mouse). Its description in RNAcentral is "oocyte_clustered_small_RNA14155". The record is from RNAcentral. Lineage: Eukaryota; Metazoa; Chordata; Mammalia; Rodentia; Muridae.